CAAAGGAGGCGACUCCGGAGACGGAUGGGCAUGCGUGACAUUAGCUUGUUGGCGGGGUAACGGCCCACCAAGGCGACGAUGUCUAGGGGUUCUGAGAGGAAGGUCCCCCACACUGGUACUGAGACACGGACCAGACUCCUACGGGAGGCAGCAGUGAGGAAUAUUGGUCAAUGGGCGAGAGCCUGAACCAGCCAAGUCGCGUGAAGGAUGACGGCCCUACGGGUUGUAAACUUCUUUUGUCAGGGAGCAAUUGGGUCCACGUGUGGGCUUAGCGAGAGUACCUGAAGAAAAAGCAUCGGCUAACUCCGUGCCAGCAGCCGCGGUAAUACGGAGGAUGCGAGCGUUAUCCGGAUUUAUUGGGUUUAAAGGGUGCGUAGGCGGAAUAUCAAGUCAGCGGUAAAAAUUCGGGGCUCAACCCCGUCGUGCCGUUGAAACUGAUGUUCUUGAGUGGGCGAGAAGUAUGCGGAAUGCGUGGUGUAGCGGUGAAAUGCAUAGAUAUCACGCAGAACUCCGAUUGCGAAGGCAGCAUACCGGCGCCCAACUGACGCUGAAGCACGAAAGCGUGGGUAUCGAACAGGAUUAGAUACCCUGGUAGUCCACGCAGUAAACGAUGAAUGCUAAUUGUCCGGAGGGAUUGACCUCUGG
This 645-nucleotide ribosomal RNA is filed under the name uncultured bacterium. RNAcentral describes it as "bacterial SSU rRNA". It matches the Rfam family "Bacterial small subunit ribosomal RNA", at positions 202 to 842 of the family's 1533-position model. The record is from RNAcentral.